Molecule: ribosomal RNA, 585 nt
Filed under: uncultured bacterium
Lineage: Bacteria
Description: partial 16S ribosomal RNA
Rfam family: Bacterial small subunit ribosomal RNA
Source: RNAcentral
UGGGGAAUUUUGGACAAUGGGCGAAAGCCUGAUCCAGCAAUGCCGCGUGUGUGAAGAAGGCCUUCGGGUUGUAAAGCACUUUUGUCCGGAAAGAAAUCCUUGGCUCUAAUACAGUCGGGGGAUGACGGUACCGGAAGAAUAAGCACCGGCUAACUACGUGCCAGCAGCCGCGGUAAUACGUAGGGUGCAAGCGUUAAUCGGAAUUACUGGGCGUAAAGCGUGCGCAGGCGGUUUGCUAAGACCGAUGUGAAAUCCCCGGGCUCAACCUGGGAACUGCAUUGGUGACUGGCAGGCUAGAGUAUGGCAGAGGGGGGUAGAAUUCCACGUGUAGCAGUGAAAUGCGUAGAGAUGUGGAGGAAUACCGAUGGCGAAGGCAGCCCCCUGGGCCAAUACUGACGCUCAUGCACGAAAGCGUGGGGAGCAAACAGGAUUAGAUACCCUGGUAGUCCACGCCCUAAAACGAUGUCAACUAGUUGUUGGGGAUUCAUUUCCUAGUAACGUAGCUAACGCGUGAAGUUGACCGCCUGGGGAGUACGGUCGCAAGAUUAAAACUUAAAGGAAUUGACGGGGUCAUAGCUGUUUCCU